UGUGCAAGUGGUAGGAGAGCGUUCUAUUUGCGUCGAAGGUAUACCGGUAAGGAGUGCUGGAGCGAAUAGAAGUGAGCAUGCAGGCAUGAGUAGCGAUAAUUAAUGUGAGAAUCAUUAACGCCGUAAACCCAAGGUUUCCUACGCGAUGCUCGUCAUCGUAGGGUUAGUCGGGUCCUAAGUCGAGUCCGAAAGGGGUAGACGAUGGCAAAUUGGUUAAUAUUCCAAUACCAACAUUAGUGUGCGAUGGAAGGACGCUUAGGGCUAAGGGGGCUAGCGGAUGGAAGUGCUAGUCUAAGGUUGUAGGAGGUUAUACAGGCAAAUCCGUAUAACAAUACUCCGAGAACUGAAAGGCUUUUUGAAGUCUUCGGAUGGAUAGAAGAACCCCUGAUGCCGUCGAGCCAAGAAAAGUUUCUAAGUUUAGCUAAUGUUGCCCGUACCGUAAACCGACACAGGUGGGUGGGAUGAGUAUUCUAAGGCGCGUGGAAGAACUCUCUUUAAGGAACUCUGCAAAAUAGCACC
This 519-nucleotide ribosomal RNA is filed under the name Campylobacter jejuni. Its description in RNAcentral is "partial 23S ribosomal RNA". It matches the Rfam family "Bacterial large subunit ribosomal RNA", at positions 1218 to 1729 of the family's 2925-position model. The record is from RNAcentral. Lineage: Bacteria; Pseudomonadati; Campylobacterota; Epsilonproteobacteria; Campylobacterales; Campylobacteraceae.